Molecule: microRNA, 21 nt
Filed under: Callithrix jacchus (white-tufted-ear marmoset)
Lineage: Eukaryota; Metazoa; Chordata; Mammalia; Primates; Cebidae
Description: cja-miR-518a
Gene: cja-miR-518a
Source: miRBase by way of RNAcentral
UUCCAGAGGGUUGCACUUUCU